This 388-nucleotide RNase P RNA is filed under the name Acetobacteraceae bacterium. Its description in RNAcentral is "RNase P RNA component class A". It matches the Rfam family "Bacterial RNase P class A". Rfam says of the family: Ribonuclease P (RNase P) is a ubiquitous endoribonuclease, found in archaea, bacteria and eukarya as well as chloroplasts and mitochondria. Its best characterised activity is the generation of mature 5'-ends of tRNAs by cleaving the 5'-leader elements of precursor-tRNAs. Cellular RNase Ps are ribonucleoproteins. The record is from RNAcentral. Lineage: Bacteria; Pseudomonadati; Pseudomonadota; Alphaproteobacteria; Acetobacterales; Acetobacteraceae.
CCAGACGGCCGGACGGCCGCUGAUGCCGCAAGGCGUUAGAGGAAAGUCCGGGCUCCAUGGGAACACGGUGUCGGCCAACAGCCGGCGGGGGCGACCCCAGGGAAAGUGCCACAGAAAACAAACCGCCCGCGCAAGGGCACGUCCCCCGCGGGCAAGGGCGAAACGGUGCGGUAAGAGCGCACCGCGCCUCUGGCAACAGGGGUGGCAGGGUAAACCCCACCGGGAGCAAGACCGAAUAGGGGUGGCUGCGCUGGCGACAGUGCAGGGAUGUUCCCAUCCCGCCACCCGGGUAGGUCGCGUGAGGCGUGCCGCAAGGUGCGUCCCAGAGGAAUGGUCGUCCAGCGCGGCAACGCGCUGACAGAACCCGGCUUACAGGCCGUCUGGCUGC